GUGCCAGCCGCCGCGGUAAUACCGGCAGCCCGAGUGAUGGCCGAUCUUAUUGGGCCUAAAGCGUCCGUAGCUGGCCGGACAAGUCCGUUGGGAAAUCCACGUGCCCAACACGUGGGCGUCCAGCGGAAACUGUCCGGCUUGGGGCCGGAAGACCCGAGGGGUACGUCCGGGGUAGGAGUGAAAUCCCGUAAUCCCGGACGGACCACCGAUGGCGAAAGCACUCUGAGAAGACGGCUUCGACAGUGAGGGACGAAAGCUAGGGUCUCAAACCGGAUUAGAUACCCUUGUAGUCC
This 293-nucleotide ribosomal RNA is filed under the name uncultured bacterium. RNAcentral's name for it is "partial 16S ribosomal RNA". It matches the Rfam family "Archaeal small subunit ribosomal RNA", at positions 455 to 747 of the family's 1478-position model. The record is from RNAcentral.